This 371-nucleotide ribosomal RNA is filed under the name uncultured organism. RNAcentral describes it as "partial 16S ribosomal RNA". It matches the Rfam family "Bacterial small subunit ribosomal RNA", at positions 527 to 896 of the family's 1533-position model. The record is from RNAcentral.
AGAGGGUGCAAGCGUUAAUCGGAAUUACUGGGCGUAAAGGGCACGUAGGUGGCUAUUUAAGUCGGGUGUGAAAUGUCUGGGCUUAACCUAGAAUGGUCAUUCGAAACUGGAUAGCUAGAGUACAGUAGAGGAAAGUGGAAUUUCCGGUGUAGCGGUGAAAUGCGUAGAUAUCGGAAGGAACACCAGUGGCGAAGGCGGCUUUCUGGACUGAUACUGACACUGAGGUGCGAAAGCGUGGGGAGCAAACAGGGAUUAGAUACCCUGGUAGUCCACGCCGUAAACGAUGAAAACUAGCUGUUUGGAGCUUUUAGCUUUGAGUGGCGUAGCUAACGCGAUAAGUUUUCCGCCUGGGGAGUACGGCCGCAAGGUUA